GACGAACCGUCCAAACGUUAUUCGGAAUCACUGGGCUUACAGAGUUCGUAGGCGGUCUGGAAAGUUGGGUGUGAAAUCCCUCGGCUCAACCGAGGAACUGCGCUUGAAACUACCAGACUCGAGGGAGAUAGAGGAAAGCGGAACUGAUGGUGGAGCGGUGAAAUGCGUUGAUAUCAUCAGGAACACCGGUGGCGAAGGCGGCUUUCUGGGUCUUACCUGACGCUGAGGAACGAAAGCGUGGGGAGCGAACAGG
RNAcentral lists this ribosomal RNA (253 nucleotides) under uncultured bacterium. Its description in RNAcentral is "partial 16S ribosomal RNA". It matches the Rfam family "Bacterial small subunit ribosomal RNA", at positions 524 to 776 of the family's 1533-position model. The record is from RNAcentral.